UGGGGAAUAUUGCGCAAUGGGCGAAAGCCUGACGCAGCCACGCCGCGUGAGCGAUGAAGGUCUUCGGAUCGUAAAGCUCUGUGGGGGGAGAAGAAGAAAGCCGGUGAAGAGCCGGCCCUGACGGUAUCCCCUUAGCAAGCACCGGCUAACUCCGUGCCAGCAGCCGCGGUAAUACGGAGGGUGCAAACGUUGCUCGGAAUCAUUGGGCGUAAAGCGCGCGUAGGCGGCUGAGCAAGUUGGAUGUGAAAGCCCUGGGCUCAACCUAGGAUGUGCAUUCAAAACUGCUCGGCUUGAGUCUCGGAGGGGGUCAGAGAAUUCCCGGUGUAGAGGUGAAAUUCGUAGAUAUCGGGAGGAACACCAGUGGCGAAGGCGCUGACCUGGACGAUGACUGACGCUGAGGCGCGAAAGCGUGGGGAGCAAACAGG
This 425-nucleotide ribosomal RNA is filed under the name uncultured Plesiocystis sp. Its description in RNAcentral is "bacterial SSU rRNA". It matches the Rfam family "Bacterial small subunit ribosomal RNA", at positions 355 to 776 of the family's 1533-position model. Lineage: Bacteria; Pseudomonadati; Myxococcota; Nannocystales; Nannocystaceae. The record is from RNAcentral.